ACUCCUACGGGAGGCAGCAGUGGGGAAUAUUGCACAAUGGGGGAAACCCUGAUGCAGCCAUGCCGCGUGUGUGAAGAAGGCCUUCGGUUGUAAAGCACUUUCAGUAGGGAGGAAGGUAGUGUAGUUAACACCUGCAUUAUUUGACGUUACCUACAGAAGAAGCACCGGCUAACUCCGUGCCAGCAGCCGCGGUAAUACGGAGGGUGCGAGCGUUAAUCGGAAUUACUGGGCGUAAAGCGCAUGCAGGCGGCCUGUUAAGUCAGAUGUGAAAGCCCGGGGCUUAACCUCGGAAUUGCAUUUGAAACUGGCAGGCUAGAGUCUUGUAGAGGGGGGUAGAAUUUCAGGUGUAGCGGUGAAAUGCGUAGAGAUCUGAAGGAAUACCAGUGGCGAAGGCGGCCCCCUGGACAAAGACUGACGCUCAGAUGCGAAAGCGUGGGGGAGCAAACAGGAUUAGAUA
Molecule: ribosomal RNA, 457 nt
Filed under: uncultured bacterium
Lineage: Bacteria
Description: bacterial SSU rRNA
Rfam family: Bacterial small subunit ribosomal RNA
Source: RNAcentral